CAAAGAGAGAGGAAGAUUUGCUUUCCACAUCAUAAACACAUGAAGUGGAUGGAAGGUUAAAUGGAUUUGGUGCUUUAAACUCUAAAGUCUUUUUAAUUUUUUGGCUUUAAAAAGUCAGAAGUUAACAAAAAAUGUUCCAGCGUUCAGUGAUUCAGUUUCUUUUCUUUAGUUUUAUUAUUUCAGUGCCAGAGAAUCCAAAACGGUACAUUUGUUCAGUUUAUUCUUGGAAAUAUGGAGACCCAAAACUGAAUAACACAAACAAAAAGAUCCAACUGGUAUUACAAGCACACUGCUACUGGUGCUUGUUACUACUACUGCUUCUAAUUUGUAUAUUAGUCUAUUUUUAAUAUGUUACUAUAGUAACAUAUUAAAAAUAGACUAAUAUUAUAAGUAGAAAUAUUAGGGCAAAUAUCCACUGCCUGAAGCUUCGUUUUUUAUAGUAACUGAUUUUUGUUGUUUAGAUUACUCAAAGCAGACCUAUUAUGGUCAUUUCCAGCUCCAUAUUUUUAAUCUCGGGCUCUACUAGAGUAGCUGAGUAUGGGUCACACUUUAAAAUAACCCUUAUUUAACCUAUGAUGGAUCUUGAUGCAGACCCUCAGUUAAUCCUGUGUCUGCCCCCUUCCCUUUAACCUAGCUGUCUUCUGAUUGGCUGCCCCUCGUAAACAGAAGGUUUGAACAGCAAGUCAUUUUGUCCUGAAGAAAAGGGAAUUCAAAUCCUUGUCUAAAUUUUAAAUAAAUUUGUCGCAUAUUUUAAGGGGAACUGUUUAACUACAUUUAGUUUGACCAUGGGCCGGCCGGCCAGCCCAUUUUACAAGCGUUUUUUAAACGAGUGUAACUGCGUCAUCGUUUACACUAGAGCGAAAAUGCGAACGGUUUUGAAAAGAAGAGAAGCUGCGCUUCACAUUGAUAUUUGGUGUAUUACGGUAGCACAAACGGUUUGCAAGCUACCGCUCUUGGAAAAGAAAAGUCAACUCCACUUAGGUGCGCUUCGCACUAGCGUAACUCCUCGACCAUUUGGGCAAGAGAGACAUUUCAAACAGUGACUAAAAAACAAGAAAACGAGCUUUACGGAACUUUAUGGUGCAUCAUUAGGAAGCACGAGCUGUGACGGUCCAAUCACAUAUUUUAUUCUGUACCUCUCUGAUGUCUCUGUUCAGUGUGAAGCUGCAGCCUGUUACCUGAGCUCUACACCUAGCCUGCAGCCUCGUUAUCACUGCACCAGUUUUGCAGGGAAGCGUAGAAAGGAAAGAGGAGGAGAGAGAGUGGACUCAAACUCAGGCUUCUGCACUUCAGACAUAAGGCAUAGGGACACCUGCUUAACCGAACCAGCCAAACCAAAGCCCUAAGUAAGGCCUUUCUGUCAGUACUGGGAGCACUGAGGCACCAUGAGAUACUUUACAGCACUCGCCAAUUUAUAUUUAUUCAUCAAGCAGCAGCAGCCCCCUUGAUAGCAGUCACCUUCAAUCACCACAGCCAGCUGCUUUGUGUACACAUGUGGAAGUUUCUGUUAUGGCUUGACUACUCUUCUAACAUCUGUUUUAGUUGUCAUUUGGAAAUGUGUGCUUAAGAAAGUGUGUCCCGUCCAAAGACAGUAAAAAAAAAUGGAGAAAGCUUCAGGGUCUGAAAAGUGAAGCCAGCUCGAAGGUGCGUUAAACCUGAAUUACUUUUUCAUGUCCACCAGGGGGCGACACCUGUGGCUGCAGAAAGACCUCUUGUCCCAUAUAAUUCAAUGGCAAGACAGUCCUCAGAGCUGAUCUCUGUAAACACUUUGCUGAUAAGUUUAUGGGCUCUGUCAGCGAUUUCAGCCCAUACUGAAUAAAACAUUAAAUACAUUUUGUUUUAGAAAGGAGGAUAAUCCAGGAUACGCUCAUCUCAUCUUUGUGGUCCUGAUGUAAAUUCUUAACAAACCAGUCAGUAUUAGCAGAAUGCAAGUGUUUCGGGUGUCUUUUUUUUUUUCUCUACAAGGAGGUGCAUUAUACAGCUGAAUUAUUUCAGCUGUAUUUACAUUUGCUACACAUGGGCUGUCACUGCUGCUCCUGAGACUGAAUUUCAGCCAGUUUUGUUCCACAAUGUGAUCAACAGGAAGUGAAAUGGCUCCCAUAGUUCUAAGGCUAGCUGGUGGCAAGAUAUAAAGUAUAUAUAUCAAACCAUUCUGUUAAGUCUCAUGCAAAAAAAGAGCACAAAAAAACCAAAGAAAAUAACUUUCUGUGAAAGCAUUAAGUGAAAUUUUUAUAGGAAAAAACAUUUUUUAUUUGGUCCCCAGACUCAGUCCAAGCAAAUGCAUACAAUCAGUCAAUGAGCCAAAAGCCUUCAGCGAGAGCUGUGUUAAAUCCUCGCGAGGCAGUUUGGAGAGUAACUAUUCAUACUUAAAAAUGAAAACACAGCCUUGUUUAAAGAGAUGCGUUGCCUGAACGACAAAACUCUGGACUGUUUUGGCUGCAUGUUCGCUCAGACUUGAGAUAUGGGGGGAGCUAUCUUGUGUAGUCUAUCUCCCUGUCCCAUCAUAAGGUACAAUCAUGUAAACACACAAAGCCAGAGCCCCCCCCCACACACAGA
Oreochromis niloticus (Nile tilapia) is the source of this 2556-nucleotide long non-coding RNA. RefSeq lists it as uncharacterized. Lineage: Eukaryota; Metazoa; Chordata; Actinopteri; Cichliformes; Cichlidae. The record is from RefSeq and is a predicted model, not a curated record. The transcript is spliced from 3 exons.